AUUAGAAGCUUGCUUCUAUGACGUUAGCGGCGGACGGGUGAGUAACACGUGGGCAACCUGCCUGUAAGACUGGGAUAACUCCGGGAAACCGGAGCUAAUACCAGAUAACAUUUUCUCUUGCAUAAGAGAAAAUUGAAAGAUGGUUUCGGCUAUCACUUACAGAUGGGCCCGCGGUGCAUUAGCUAGUUGGUGAGGUAACGGCUCACCAAGGCAACGAUGCAUAGCCGACCUGAGAGGGUGAUCGGCCACACUGGGACUGAGACACGGCCCAGACUCCUACGGGAGGCAGCAGUAGGGAAUCUUCCGCAAUGGACGAAAGUCUGACGGAGCAACGCCGCGUGAGUGAUGAAGGCUUUCGGGUCGUAAAACUCUGUUGUUAGGGAAGAACAAGUACAAGAGUAACUGCUUGUACCUUGACGGUACCUAACCAGAAAGCCACGGCUAACUACGUGCCAGCAGCCGCGGUAAUACGUAGGUGGCAAGCGUUAUCCGGAAUUAUUGGGCGUAAAGCGCGCGCAGGCGGUUUCUUAAGUCUGAUGUGAAAGCCCACGGCUCAACCGUGGAGGGUCAUUGGAAACUGGGGAACCUGAGUGCAGAAGAGAAAAGCGGAAUUCCACGUGUAGCGGUGAAAUGCGUAGAGAUGUGGAGGAACACCAGUGGCGAAGGCGGCUUUUUGGUCUGUAACUGACGCUGAGGCGCGAAAGCGUGGGGAGCAAACAGGAUUAGAUAC
Molecule: ribosomal RNA, 730 nt
Filed under: uncultured bacterium
Lineage: Bacteria
Description: bacterial SSU rRNA
Rfam family: Bacterial small subunit ribosomal RNA
Source: RNAcentral